AUUUGAGUAUCUUAAGUUUAAAGUUUAAUAUUGAAGCUAUUAAUAUAGGCUGUGGCCUCUCAAAUA
This 66-nucleotide transfer RNA is filed under the name Geocoris pallidipennis. Its description in RNAcentral is "tRNA-Phe". The record is from RNAcentral. Lineage: Eukaryota; Metazoa; Arthropoda; Insecta; Hemiptera; Geocoridae.